RNAcentral lists this ribosomal RNA (207 nucleotides) under uncultured bacterium. RNAcentral's name for it is "partial 16S ribosomal RNA". It matches the Rfam family "Bacterial small subunit ribosomal RNA", at positions 1294 to 1500 of the family's 1533-position model. The record is from RNAcentral.
CGGAUUGCAGCCUGCAACUCGGCUGCAUGAAGCUGGAAUCGCUAGUAAUCGCGGAUCAGAACGCCGCGGUGAAUACGUUCCCGGGUCUUGUACACACCGCCCGUCACACCAUGGGAGCCGGAAACGCCCGAAGCCAGCGGCCCAACCGCAAGGGGGGAGCUGUCGAAGGCGGGGCCGGUGACCGGGGUGAAGUCGUAACAAGGUAUC